This 491-nucleotide ribosomal RNA is filed under the name uncultured bacterium. Its description in RNAcentral is "partial 16S ribosomal RNA". It matches the Rfam family "Bacterial small subunit ribosomal RNA", at positions 29 to 506 of the family's 1533-position model. The record is from RNAcentral.
AGUGAACGCUGGCGGUAGGCCUAACACAUGCAAGUCGAACGGCAGCACAGUAAGAGCUUGCUCUUACGGGUGGCGAGUGGCGGACGGGUGAGGAAUACAUCGGAAUAUACUUUUUCGGGGGGGAUAACGUAGGGAAACUUACGCUAAUACCGCAUACGACCUACGGGGGAAAGCAGGGGAUCUUCGGACCUUGCGCGAGUGAAUGAGCCGAUGACGGAUUAGCUAGUUGGCGGGGUAUAGGCCCACCAAGGCGACGAUCCGUAGCUGGUCCGAGAGGAUGAUCCACCGCUCUUGAGCUGGGAUACGCUCCCGCCCCCGGCGUGAGGCAGCACCGGGACUUCUUGGGCAAUGGGCGGUAGCCUGUUCCAGCCAUUCCGCGUGGGUGAAGACGGCCUUCGGGUUGUAAAGCCCUUUUGUUGGGAAAGAAAAGCAGCAGGUUAAUCCCCCGCUGUUCUGCCGGUACCCAAAGAAUAAGCACCGGCUACCUUCGU